RNAcentral lists this ribosomal RNA (368 nucleotides) under uncultured eukaryote. RNAcentral describes it as "partial 18S ribosomal RNA". It matches the Rfam family "Eukaryotic small subunit ribosomal RNA", at positions 592 to 976 of the family's 1831-position model. The record is from RNAcentral.
CAAUAGCGUAUAUUAAAGUUGUUGCAGUUAAAAAGCUCGUAGUUGAAAAUCUGGGUUUGGUGGCCUAAGCACACGUUGCCAGGGCCAUCAGCCCAUUCUCACAAAGAUGUUGUUGCGCAUUAACUUGUGUAGCAGCGGAGAUGUGUCGUUUACUGUGAACAAAUUAGGGUGUUUAAAGCAGGCCUAAGCUUGUAUACAUUAGCAUGGAAUAAUAAGAUAUGACUUUGGUUGUAUUUUGUUGGUGACUGCCAAAGUAAUGAUUGAUAGAAACAGUUGUGGGUAUUCGUAUGAGCAUGUCAGAGGUGAAAUUCUUGGAUUUUGAUCAGACGAACAACUGCGAAAGCAUUUACCAAGGAUGUUUNCAUUAA